RNAcentral lists this long non-coding RNA (1591 nucleotides) under Selaginella moellendorffii. Its description in RNAcentral is "long non-coding RNA (SMOE_LNC002453)". The record is from RNAcentral. Lineage: Eukaryota; Viridiplantae; Streptophyta; Lycopodiopsida; Selaginellales; Selaginellaceae.
AUACUGGAAAAUAUCUAACUUAGAGAAACAAAAGAAUUCUAGAAAUUCUCUACUCUAGGUGUUUGAGGUUACGUGUCAUUCCUAUUUGCGUGCGUCUAUACAUGUUCCAAAAGAUACCCAUUUGUCAUGUUCACGUGAAUUAAAAAUAAAAGUAUAGUUAAAAUUUCUCACAAGCUGAGUAAAAAGGUAGGCUAUAAAAGAGAUUUGAUAAAAUAAGGGCCAGUAUUCUCAACCGAAACAAGAAUAAAUAGGUGUCUCGUGCUAGAGAGAAAGAUGCGGCUGUGGCAGAAGGACUUGGCUAUGGCGCACCAGAGGGAUCUGGCCGGAAAGAAAAAACUGGUUAGGGCUCUUGUCGAGUCGUUGGAAGCCUAUCUGGUGUCCAGAUGCCAGACCAACUUUCUCUUCGAUUGGGGAGGACUGGGCAAGCUGGGCCGUCUCAUCCAGCUUCUCUACUGUGGUCGUCUCUUUGACAGCCUUCAAGAGCGCGAACUCUACGUCCGGCUGGAUCCCACAAACGGUGUCACCGACGAGGAUCUUCGCUACAUCUCGUCGCUUUCUCUUCGGGUUUUACAAUCCUCCCAGCUGGAGGAACUCGAAGUAUCCCCAGCCAUUCCAAUCCUAGACCGGAUCAUGGACUCGGGCUACUUCCGCUGCCAACCGGUCAUAGAGAGCGUAUACCUCAACACUCCCUCUCGAUCUCGAUGACAUGAAUCUGAGAUCACUCUCCCUCUGCAUCCAAGCACUCUGUCGUAUCCACGACAGAAAUCUGUCUCUGCUCAGUGCCUCCUCUCAGCGCCUCUACCAGUGCAUUCUCACACCAGCGCCUCACUCAGCGCUCGAGUGGAGUCUCUGCUCGGCCAGCCCUCGGGGCCUCGUGCCUCUACGCCCAGCACUCACCUCUAGUGAGUCUCUGCGGGGCCUCGCACGCCCUAGCGCCUCGUUCACGGCCUCUGAUCGCAGUCUCUCCUCUCUCAGCGCCUCUGCCAGUGCCUCUCUGCUCGUGCCUGUGCUCGGUGCCUCACGCCAGCCCUCUCUCAGCGCCUGUGCCAGCGCCUCAGCGCCUUGCUCAGCGCCCUAGUGCAGUCUCUCCGCCUCUCGGCACCUUGCUCAGCGCCCUAGUGCAGUCUCUCCGCCUCUCUGCUUGCCUCUGGACCUGCUCAGUGCCUCCUCUCAGCGCCUCUGCCAGCACCUUCUCACAGCAGCGCCUCACUCAGCGCUCCAGUGGAGUCUCUGCUCGGUGCCUCCUCUCAGCGCCUCUGCCAGCGCCUUCGGCUGCUCUCCAGCGCCUCACUCAGCACUCCAGUACCACUCGGUGCCUCAAGCCAGCCCUCUCUCAGCACCUCUGCCAGCGCCUCCGGGCCAGUCUCUGCUCGAUCACACCCUAGCGCCUUGCUCAGCUUGCUAGUGCCGUUACCUUGGCACUCAAUGCAGCACAGUGCCAAAUCUUGGCACCUCUCAGCCACGUCUGGUGGCUCAUCGUCAUCCUCGCUGGCCUCCUCCUCGGCCAGCGCCAUCGUCCCAGGAUCUGAAGCCCUCAGGGCUCUGAUACCAUGAAGAGAAGAAGAGCGGAAGCUACGAUGGUGGAUGACUC